This 91-nucleotide transfer RNA is filed under the name Streptomyces sp. TS71-3. Its description in RNAcentral is "tRNA-Ala". The record is from RNAcentral. Lineage: Bacteria; Bacillati; Actinomycetota; Actinomycetes; Kitasatosporales; Streptomycetaceae.
GCACGCCGGGCCCGCCGGUCAGCGGGUCGCGGGCGAGCGUGCCGUCCAGGGGAGCCGGGGGCGCGCCGAGUUCGGGUCCCGGGGCGUGCAC